This 867-nucleotide ribosomal RNA is filed under the name uncultured bacterium. RNAcentral's name for it is "bacterial SSU rRNA". It matches the Rfam family "Bacterial small subunit ribosomal RNA", at positions 76 to 957 of the family's 1533-position model. The record is from RNAcentral.
GUAGCAAUAUUGUCUCAGUGGCGAACGGGUGAGUAACGCGUUGGUGACCUGCCCCGAAGAGGGGGAUAACAGUCCGAAAGGAUUGCUAAUACCCCAUGUGGUCAAGAGGAUUAGAUGCCUUAUGACUAAACGGAGAAAUUCGCUUCGGGAGGGGCCUGCGUCCCAUCAGCUAGUUGGUAGGGUAAUAGCCUACCAAGGCGAUGACGGGUAGGGGACCUGAGAGGGUGGCCCCCCACAAUGGAACUGAAACACGGUCCAUACACCUACGGGUGGCAGCAGUAGGGAAUAUUGGUAAUCUGGGAAACCGGGAACCAGCAACGCCGCGUGCGCGAUGAAGGCCUUCGGGUUGUAAAGCGCUUUUUGAGAGGAUGAGGAAGGACAGUACUCUUAGAAUAAGCCUCGGCUAACUACGUGCCAGCAGCCGCGGUAAAACGUAGGAGGCGAGCGUUAUCCGGAUUUACUGGGCGUAAAGCGUGUGUAGGCGGUUUGAUAAGUUGGAUGUGAAAGCUCCUGGCUUAACUGGGAGAGGUCGUUCAAAACUAUCAGACUUGAGAGUGGUAGAGGGAGGUGGAAUUCCGCAUGUAGUGGUGAAAUGCGUAGAUAUGCGGAGGAACACCAGUGGCGAAAGCGGCCUCCUGGCCCAUUUCUGACGCUCAGACACGAAAGCUAAGGUAGCAAACGGGAUUAGAGACCCCGGUAGUCUUAGCUGUAAACGAUGUGAACUUAGUGUCGGUGGGGUUAAAUCCAUCGGUACUGAAGCUAACGCGAUAAGUUCACCGCCUGAGGACUACGGCCGCAAGGUUAAAACUCAAAGGAAUUGACGGGGCCCCGCACAAGCAGCGGAGCCGUGUGGUUUAAAUUCGAUGU